This 325-nucleotide long non-coding RNA is filed under the name Cavia porcellus (domestic guinea pig). RNAcentral's name for it is "lncRNA (ENSCPOG00000035951.1)". The record is from RNAcentral. Lineage: Eukaryota; Metazoa; Chordata; Mammalia; Rodentia; Caviidae.
UUGCAUCCUGCAGAAAGCUAGAGCUCCUCAUGUGACCUUUGGUCCUGAAGGGAAGUUUUACAUGGUUAGAGGUUUGGGACAAAAGUUGGGACAGAAAACAAGCAUGGAAGACUCAUUGGCCUUGAACUGAGGCCAGAUUUUAGAGGGCAUAUGGUGGAGGAACCUGAACAAGAACUGAGUGUGCAAUGGAAGAGGCUGGGCCUUAGACGCGACUGUGUGCAGCCAGUGAGAGAAUCAACUUUCCCCAGUUGAGAACUCCUGUGGGCCUUGGUGAUGAACCUUCCAUACAGCACUUCAAAUGCGUAAGAAAGUACAAACUUUCCAC